AUGACGGCUGACUGUGACAUCAACUCUGCUGCUUCAGACCGGACCCGGCGAACCGAGUCAGCUCUCUUCGAGAGGGUCCCACUGAGUGAGAUCGAUCUCAUAUCCAAUGCUGUUCUGAUCAGGACACCUUCUGUGCCCUGUGAGUACAUGAUUGUGGUGCAGUCAGACAAUGUCCCAGAGACCAUAGUGUUUCAGAGAGACUCAUCAGUCAGUAAGAAAAUUAGGAAUGCUCGAGCAGCAGCUGGUGGUGCUGCCACUGGUGCACCGGGCAACGCCCAGUCUGACUGCACACACUGUUUGACCCCGCCUAUAGCCCCAUCACAAAUGGUCAAAGAUCAGCCAGCCACCAAAUUGGUCACGCCCUUAGUGGUGACUGAGGACCCUCCGCUUUUUGGUGGUGGAAAUAAGCCUGUCUUAACCCAACUUGGUUGGAAUCCACUUUCACCUGGAGACAACUCUUUCUACAAGCACAUGGACGUAAAUACAGCAUUACCUGAUGCAAAUGCCUACAACCCCUACAUGAAUGAAAUGAUAGUGGAUCAAAUGAAUGGGGUGAACUUUGGUAUUUUACCCAAGGUGUCAGAUGAGAUGACAGGCUUCAAUGUUAUGGGCCCACCCACCUUCAUGCCACCAGGUGUUUCAGCAGCAGAAGAAAUAAGUGCUUCUAGUUUAGUGUAUCCUCCGAUUUCAGCUGGACAGGAGGCUAAUACACUCUGUUUGGUGCUCCCGACGAUUUCCAUUGCUCAAGAAAGUGGAGACCUCCCAUUGCUUAGCCCACCAUCUAUCUCAAAGCCACAAGCCAUUACAGUCCCCAGUGUGAUGUGCCCAGCCAUCUCACAACCAGAGGAAACAAAGACCUCCAAGGCAGAGGAAAUAGAGGCCCUCCGAUCAAUGUACCCUCCUAUUGUGCCACCCAGUUUACCAAACCCAUCUGUACCAGCUCCACAGGAAACAACAGCCACUCUGCUUCAUCCCCCAUUUUUGGCCCAGGAGGAAACAAGACCCCCUUCAUUGCCUCUCACCCAGGCAUCAGUGCACAUGCAUCAGUGCACUGGUCAGAAUGCACUAGCAUUUCAUGUGAAUGAGGAGAGCAGAAGAACACCAUAUAUGAUUCCAUUGGUCUCCCAAAGCAUUAUGGGAGUGACACAGAUGUAUGUUCAACCACAACAACCCCAGUUCAUUCACAGCUGGUCCAGAGAAGCAGGUCAGUUGAAUAGCAGAUAG
RNAcentral lists this long non-coding RNA (1224 nucleotides) under Oncorhynchus mykiss (rainbow trout). Its description in RNAcentral is "lncRNA (ENSOMYG00000073863.1)". The record is from RNAcentral. Lineage: Eukaryota; Metazoa; Chordata; Actinopteri; Salmoniformes; Salmonidae.